UGGCGGCGUGCCUAACACAUGCAAGUCGAACGAGAAAGGGGAGCAAUCCCUGAGUAAAGUGGCGACCGGGUGAGUAACACGUGACUAACCUGCCUUCGAGUGGGGGAUAACCUCGGGAAACCGGGGCUAAUACCGCAUAAUGCCGAGAGGUUAAAGGAGCAAUUCGCUUGAAGAGGGGGUCGCGGCUGAUUAGCUAGUUGGCGGGGUAACGGCCCACCAAGGCGAUGAUCGGUAGCCGGCCUGAGAGGGCGCACGGCCACACUGGAACUGAAACACGGUCCAGACUCCUACGGGAGGCAGCAGUGGGGAAUUUUGCGCAAUGGGGGAAACCCUGACGCAGCAACGCCGCGUGGAGGAUGAAGUCCCUUGGGACGUAAACUCCUUUCGACCGGGACGAUAAUGACGGUACCGGUGGAAGAAGCCCCGGCUAACUUCGUGCCAGCAGCCGCGGUAAUACGAGGGGGGCAAGCGUUGUUCGGAAUUAUUGGGCGUAAAGGGCGCGUAGGCGGUGCGGUAAGUCACCUGUGAAAACUUCGGGCUUAACUC
This 546-nucleotide ribosomal RNA is filed under the name uncultured bacterium. RNAcentral's name for it is "bacterial SSU rRNA". It matches the Rfam family "Bacterial small subunit ribosomal RNA", at positions 37 to 615 of the family's 1533-position model. The record is from RNAcentral.